RNAcentral lists this transfer RNA (63 nucleotides) under Rattus norvegicus (Norway rat). It matches the Rfam family "tRNA". Rfam says of the family: Transfer RNA (tRNA) molecules are approximately 80 nucleotides in length. Their secondary structure includes four short double-helical elements and three loops (D, anti-codon, and T loops). Further hydrogen bonds mediate the characteristic L-shaped molecular structure. tRNAs have two regions of fundamental functional importance: the anti-codon, which is responsible for specific mRNA codon recognition, and the 3' end, to which the tRNAs corresponding amino acid is attached (by aminoacyl-tRNA synthetases). tRNAs cope with the degeneracy of the genetic code in two manners: having more than one tRNA (with a specific anti-codon) for a particular amino acid; and 'wobble' base-pairing, i.e. permitting non-standard base-pairing at the 3rd anti-codon position. Lineage: Eukaryota; Metazoa; Chordata; Mammalia; Rodentia; Muridae. The record is from Rfam by way of RNAcentral.
GGGGACCUAGCUCAGUGGUAGAGCGCUUGCCUAGCAAGCGCAAGGCCCUGCGUUCGGUCCCCA